RNAcentral lists this unclassified non-coding RNA (385 nucleotides) under uncultured Phycisphaerae bacterium. Its description in RNAcentral is "contains 16S-23S intergenic spacer region". The record is from RNAcentral. Lineage: Bacteria; Pseudomonadati; Planctomycetota; Phycisphaerae.
UCCGGCUUAACGCCGGCAGUCUCGCUAGAGUCCUCGGCAUGACCCGUUAGCAACUAGCGACAGGGGUUUCGCUCGUUAAGGGACUUAACCCGACACUUCACAGCACGAGCUGACGACAGCCGUGCAACACCUGUUCACGUUUCACCCCGAAGGGCAGCUCGCGGCAUUACCCGUCCGCAUCCGUGAAUGUCAAACCCAGGUAAGGUUCUUCGCGUUGCUUCGAAUUAAGCCACAUGCUCCACCGCUUGUGUGAGCCCCCGUCAAUUCCUUUGAGUUUUAGCCUUGCGGCCGUACUCCCCAGGCGGCAUACUUAGCACUUUUGCUGCGGCGCCGAAAUCGUCAGAGAUCCCGGCACCUAGUAUGCAUCGUUUACGGCGUGGACUAC